RNAcentral lists this ribosomal RNA (253 nucleotides) under uncultured bacterium. RNAcentral's name for it is "partial 16S ribosomal RNA". It matches the Rfam family "Bacterial small subunit ribosomal RNA", at positions 524 to 776 of the family's 1533-position model. The record is from RNAcentral.
GACGUAGGGCGCAAGCGUUGUCCGGAUUUAUUGGGCGUAAAGAGCUCGUAGGCGGCUUGUUGCGUCGUCCGUGAAAACCCGCAGCUCAACUGCGGGCUUGCGGACGAUACGGGCAGGCUAGAGUUCGGUAGGGGAGACUGGAAUUCCUGGUGUAGCGGUGAAAUGCGCAGAUAUCAGGAGGAACACCGGUGGCGAAGGCGGGUCUCUGGGCCGAUACUGACGCUGAGGCACGAAAGCUAGGGGAGCAAACAGG